ACCAGAUCCUAGCAGCUCUCUUGUUAAUUUCAGUGGAACAUUUAGUCAGUCUUUCUGCACUUUCCCUUAACUUAGCUUUUCUCUCCACACUCUCACCCCACCUCUGCGGGAUGGGAAGCCAGGCUGAAGGCAAAGGAGAUGGCCACCCUCUAGGGGAUCCAGGCAAAGCGAGAUAAAGGUCAAGGAAGACUUCUUCACUAGGUCCAGUUCAGCAAGGACACUUGUCAACACUUGUGGCCAGAUGCUGGGCACAGUGCAUCUCGGGAACUGAAGCAGGAGGAUCGCAAGAGACCAGCCGGGGCAACUUAGGGAGACCCUACCUCAAAAUAUCAAAUUUUAAGAGGGGUGGGUGAGAGGUGUUGGUGAAGUGGCUCUGUGGCUGAGCACCUCUGGGUUCAAUCCCCAGUACCAACAAAAAGAGAAAAAAACUGUGGUCAGAUAAACUGGGUUCGUGCCUGGGACUGAGAGAUCAUUAUCUCUUUACUUUCCUCACUACCUCCCCUAAAGCUUGACAAUGCAGGCUGAUGGGAAUGGGGACACCAGAUAAAAUUAUGGAAUAAAGGAAUUUUUCUCUAUUGUCCGGUUCCCCCUCCCUCCACUGCCCACUCCUCUUUCACUAUCAAGCCAAUCCUGCAAAACUUGCCUUUGUUGACUUGUCAAACAAUCCCGGAGUGGCUGCCCCUCACUGUCAGAGCUGGGCAAGGUUCUACACCACUGCCUUGAGGGAAGGAGGCCUAAGACUGUGUUUUAAGGUGGUAGUCAGCAGAUCUAGUAAACGAACCUGUAUUAAUUUGCUUACGAAUUAAUGGGGGAAGGCCUAAGGCUAUCCAGAUUUCUAUUCACUUCUGCCCCCUAAGUUUCCUAAAUUUAAAGUGCUUUUAAAAUGUGACUGUGUGCUUAGUGGGUACAAGGUCCUGGGUUCAAUCCUUAGCACCAAAACAAAACAAAAAACUGUGACUCUUUGGAGACCAUGAUCCCACUUUUGUUAGGUUUUCACUCCCAAGAAACCACAGCCGUGGGUCUUGGAACAUUUCCCCUGAGGCUGCAGACCAGGGAUCUCCAAACUCACCAACUCCACUUCUAGGGCUCUCAGGGAUGCAAGUGGCAGAGGGGCCACUGAGAAGUUGGUGGGGCUGGAAAGGACAGUGCAUUUUAGUGUAUGCCAUCCAGGAAGUCAGGGCUUAUCUCUAGACCUCAGGUUUCCAUCUUAGAGGAGGAAGUUGAACUAGAUCACCAUUGUACAAUAGAACUGUAAUUCAAGUCACAUACAUAAUGUUUUAUUUUAGCAACCACAUUAAAUGAAGUUAUUUUAAAAAGGGAAUUAAUUUUAAUUAUACAUUUUAUUUAACCCAGUAGAUCACAAAUAGGAUCAUUUCAACAUGUAAUCAACUUUUUAAAUAUUAUUGAGCUACUUUACAUUAUUUUGUCAAACUACAUCCUUAAGAACCCAGUGAGUAUUUUAUACCUACAGCACAUUGUCGCUUUGAACCAGCUGCAUAUCAAGGACUCAAAAGCCAAGUGUGGAUGGUUAGUGGCUACCACUCUGAUCUGAACAGGGUUGGGUUGUCUCUGAAGUCUCUUCCAGCCCUGGCAUUUUAGGACAUCACUAUGUCCAGGGUGAGGUUCAUGACAUCAAGCAAAAGACAUCAAGUCUGAGGAAGAAGCAAAAGCAGAGGGGACAUGAGUCCUGGGAUUUCUUCUCCUUCUGCAUCCCCCUUCACAGGACAAGAAUCUUGGGAAACUUAAUGAGAGUGUGGUGCACGGAGCCAGAACAAAAUCUGGAUGAGAGUCAGGCCAGUGAGCAUCUAGAACACAGAGUUUAGAAGAGGCACUUCACACCCUGGUCUUCAUUCCAGUGGAGGUUUUGGUUCCAAGAGGAGCUCCAGCCAGCCCAAGGCUGGGUCAGAGAAUCCCAUAAAGUGUUCAGACUGGUUCAGUGACAUGAAACCCAACGCAGCUGCAGGAUUCGCCUCUUCCCACUCUUCAGGACAAAAUAAUGCAACCAGUUAUCAGAUGGACUUCUCUCUCCAUCUCUCUGAAGCUGUGUACAGACCAGGGAGGGGAGUCAGUGGUCAGGAAGGUCACAUUGUGCCCAGGGCCACUCUUAUCUCCGCCUCAUAUCUGGUCAGUCCCCACAAACCAGUCUGUUCUCCUUGUUCGUGCCUAACCUAGAGGCAGUAUAUUGAAAUGAAUUUCAAGGAGUUAGGAAGAACUGACCUGGAUCCUACUUAACAGCUCCAUCAGUGGCCUAUCUCCUUAUCCGAAAAAUGUGGCAUUCAUAAAGCUCAAUCCACGGGGUUAUGGGACAUCAAGUACAAUUACAUCUAGCACAUAGGGGAUAUUCCGGAAUAUUCAUUUGCUUACUCUUGAAUUUCUUGAAUUGAAGGUAGGAGGGUAGCUCUUUUGGGGGUGUACUGGGUAUUGAACCCAGGGUGUUUAACCACUAAGCCUGUCUCUUUUUUUUUGGAGACAGAAUCUCAUUAAGGAAGGUAGCUCUUUGAGUCUGUUUGCAAAAGACAAGCAAUGGAGCUGCCAAAAUUGCCUUUCAGUGCCUUACCUUUGGUCAAGGCCUCUCCCUCGCUUCUAUACCCAGACACCCCUAUACCACGAUAUGUGGCUCAGCUUAAAUAAUUAUAUAAAUAAAUGUAUUCAUCUCAUUCAUGCUAAAUACUAAAGCAUUAAAGGACUGAAAGAAUUGCCAGUUGUCCCUCCUGGGAAUAAUUUCUAUUAAAAAAAGAGACAUCCUGGCACUGUGGUGCACACCUGUAAUCCCAGCAACUCAGGAGACUUAGGUAGUAGGAUCACAAGUUCAAAGUCAGCCUCAGCAACUUAGGGAAACCCUGUCUCAAAAUAAAAAAAUAGCAAGGACUGGGGAUAUGGCUCAGUGGUUAAACACCCCUGGGUUCUAUCCUCGGUACAAAAAAAAAGAGAGCCCAUUGACUCUAUUGAGCAAUAUAUAUGAAUGAACACAGCAAUAAGGAUUACUCUCAAAAGAAUAAACAAGCAACAAAAUAAAAAGUACAUACUAUAGACAUACUAUAGACUUCCAAUUAUAAAGCAGGCAAAACUAAUCUGUGAUGACAAAGUAUGUGAGUAAUUGUCUGCAGCAAGGGGUGGAGCCUGAGGGUUUCCUGCAAAGGGACACAAGGAAGUUCCUCAGGGUGACGGACAUGUUCUAUACCUUCAUUGUGGCAACUGUUACAUAGCUGGAUGCAAAAACUGGACAAAUGGUACUCUUAAAAUGGGUGAACUUUAUUGUGUAUAAAUCGCAUAUCAGUAAAGAUCAUUUCAAAAGAAAAAAGGCCUUUUAAAGAGGUCAUAUGUAAUACUUAAAAAAUUAAUCACUAAGAGUAGAAUUCCAAGGAAGCUGAAGGAUGGAUGAUAGAACCAGUCCAUGGGGAAGGUGAGGGGUGGCAUUUCAGGAAAAGACCCUCCCUGAUCUAAAAAUGAUCUGGUGUUCUUUUCAGACAUAAGAAGCUAUUUUGUUUGGAGGGUUUUUUGGGUUUUGUUCUCAUCUUCGUUUUUGGCUUUUUGGUUUUUUGUACUGGGAAUUUAACUCAAUGAGAAGCUAUUUUGGAAAUGUGGUUUAGAAAUCUGAAUAUUUAGGGUUCUGUGAUUACCCAUACUCCUACUUGUUUGCUCUUCACUUCCUGAUUUGGACUAGGAUAUUUAUUCGUUCUACAAAUAUAUAUUGAAUAUUUCUCUGUACCAAGCCCUCUUCUAGGAGGCAGGGAUUCCACCACGAACAAACUGUCCCCAAGUUAGUGGAGGACAAUAAUCAAGGUAAUAAGAUAAUCAAGAUAAGUUAAGCUGAAUAUAGAAAGUGGGGCGCACUGGGGUUGGGAGGAAUUAGAUGCUGUUAUGUAGGGUGGCCAGGGAAGCCCUAUGUGAGAAGGGAACAUUUAGGCAGAGACCUGGAGGUAGUCAUGGAGUGAGCCGGUGGAUAUCUAGGUAGAGGCACCCAGGCAGGGGCACAGCAGUGUAGGGGCCUAUGCUUGGCAUACUGGAGAGGAGGAC
Sciurus carolinensis (gray squirrel) is the source of this 4017-nucleotide long non-coding RNA. RefSeq lists it as uncharacterized. The record is from RefSeq and is a predicted model, not a curated record. The transcript is spliced from 3 exons. Lineage: Eukaryota; Metazoa; Chordata; Mammalia; Rodentia; Sciuridae.